Long non-coding RNA from Lolium rigidum, 285 nucleotides. RefSeq lists it as uncharacterized. The record is from RefSeq and is a predicted model, not a curated record. NCBI's taxonomy places the organism in Eukaryota, Viridiplantae, Streptophyta, Magnoliopsida, Poales, Poaceae. The transcript is spliced from 4 exons.
CGAUGCUGCAUCGGCAACAAGAGGUUAGGGAUUCGUUCAUUGCAGCGAGCGUGAGAAGGCCAAGUUCAUCAGCCUUAUAUGGCGCUACCUCUGGUCUUUCAUGUGCAGCUGCCAAUGAUGUGGUAUUGACGAUGGUUAUGCACAUACGUUCUAGAGGCUGCUGUUCUCAGUAACAAUGUGAAGCAUGAACAGUUGGUACAUGAUGUCCACCCAGGUGUGAGCUAGGUGGAGGCGUGAAUUGAGCGAAGGCUGGCGGCGCGGAAGCGAGCGUUGGUCACGGGCGCA